Molecule: long non-coding RNA, 416 nt
Filed under: Homo sapiens (human)
Lineage: Eukaryota; Metazoa; Chordata; Mammalia; Primates; Hominidae
Description: non-protein coding lnc-LRP12-5:1
Source: RNAcentral
GGACAUGGUGGGUCCUCUGAGGCAAACUUGCAGAUUGCCCUUGGUCUUCCUUAGGACCAGUGAUCCACUAUGCUGAUGGGACAGAAGCUGAAAAUCUGCACAUCAUCGUGAUGAAGGAGAUCAAGAGACAGCUGAAUAGACUUCCUGAUGCUGGUGUGGGUGCCAUGGUGAUGCCACAGUCAAGAAAGGCAAAUCAGAACUCAGAAGGAAGGUAUAUGCAGAAGUUCAAGUGCAGAAGUGGUCAUUUGACAACAAAAGUGAUAACAGAUAAUUUAAUUUGAAGAUAACAUAGUCAUAGUCAUAGUAAAAAAAAAAAAAAAAAUAAAGAUGAGAUGAAAGGCUCUGCCAUCACAGGACCAGGUGCAAAGGACUGUACAGACUUGUGGCCUAGGACUGCAUCCCACGCUGACAAUAUU